This 555-nucleotide ribosomal RNA is filed under the name uncultured Clostridium sp. RNAcentral's name for it is "bacterial SSU rRNA". It matches the Rfam family "Bacterial small subunit ribosomal RNA", at positions 573 to 1124 of the family's 1533-position model. The record is from RNAcentral. Lineage: Bacteria; Bacillati; Bacillota; Clostridia; Eubacteriales; Clostridiaceae.
AGGCGGCUUUGCAAGUCAGGUGUGAAAACUAUGGGCUUAACCCAUAGAUUGCACUUGAAACUGUGGAGCUUGAGUGAAGUAGAGGCAGGCGGAAUCCCCGGUGUAGCGGUGAAAUGCGUAGAGAUCGGGAGGAACACCAGUGGCGAAGGCGGCCUGCUGGGCUUUAACUGACGCUGAGGCACGAAAGCAUGGGUAGCAAACAGGAUUAGAUACCCUGGUAGUCCAUGCCGUAAACGAUGAUUACUAGGUGUGGGGGGUCUGACCCCUUCCGUGCCGGAGUUAACACAAUAAGUAAUCCACCUGGGAAGUACGACCGCAAGGUUGAAACUCAAAGGAAUUGACGGGGGCCCGCACAAGCAGUGGAGUAUGUGGUUUAAUUCGAAGCAACGCGAAGAACCUUACCAGGUCUUGACAUCCAACUAACGAAGCAGAGAUGCAUUAGGUGCCCUUCGGGGAAAGUUGAGACAGGUGGUGCAUGGUUGUCGUCAGCUCGUGUCGUGAGAUGUUGGGUUAAGUCCCGCAACGAGCGCAACCCUUGUGAUUAGUUGCUACGCA